This 575-nucleotide ribosomal RNA is filed under the name Couesius plumbeus (lake chub). RNAcentral's name for it is "partial large subunit ribosomal RNA". Lineage: Eukaryota; Metazoa; Chordata; Actinopteri; Cypriniformes; Leuciscidae. The record is from RNAcentral.
CGCCUCCUGCAACUAUUAAGUAUAGGAGGUCCAGCCUGCCCAGUGACUACGGGUUCAACGGCCGCGGUAUCUUGACCGUGCAAAGGUAGCGCAAUCACUUGUCUCUUAAAUAGAGACCUGUAUGAAUGGCUAGACGAGGGCUUAACUGUCUCCCCCUUCCAGUCAGUGAAAUUGAUCUAUCCGUGCAGAAGCGGGUAUAAAUCUACAAGACGAGAAGACCCUUUGGAGCUUAAGGUACAAAACUCAACCACGUUAAACAACUCUAUAAAAAAUAAGAACUUAGUGGCCUGUGAGAUUUUACCUUCGGUUGGGGCGACCACGGAGGAAAAACGAGCCUCCGAGUGGACUGGGCCGAAUCCCUAGAUCCAAARGAGACAUCUUUAGGCCACAGAAUAUCUGACCAAUAAUGAUCCGGCUCAAAUGCCGAUCAGCGAACCAAGUUACCCUAGGGAUAACAGCGCAAUCCUCUCCCAGAGCCCGUAUCGACGAGGGGGUUUACGACCUCGAUGUUGGAUCAGGACAUCCUAAUGGUGCAGCCGCUAUUAAGGGUUCGUUUGUUCAACGAUUAAAGUCCU